CCUACGGGAGGCAGCAGUGGGGAAUAUUGCACAAUGGGGGAAACCCUGAUGCAGCGACGCCGCGUGAGGGAAGAAGGUUUUCGGAUUGUAAACCUCUGUCUUCAGGGACGAUAGUGACGGUACCUGAGGAGGAAGCUCCGGCUAACUACGUGCCAGCAGCCGCGGUAAUACGUAGGGAGCGAGCGUUGUCCGGAAUUACUGGGUGUAAAGGGAGCGUAGGCGGGACAGCAAGUUGAAUGUGAAAUCUAUGGGCUCAACCCAUAAACUGCGUUCAAAACUGUUGUUCUUGAGUGAAGUAGAGGUAGGCGGAAUUCCUAGUGUAGCGGUGAAAUGCGUAGAUAUUAGGAGGAACACCAGUGGCGAAGGCGGCCUACUGGGCUUUAACUGACGCUGAGGCUCGAAAGCGUGGGUAGCAAACAGGAUU
RNAcentral lists this ribosomal RNA (424 nucleotides) under uncultured Culturomica sp. RNAcentral describes it as "bacterial SSU rRNA". It matches the Rfam family "Bacterial small subunit ribosomal RNA", at positions 338 to 779 of the family's 1533-position model. The record is from RNAcentral. Lineage: Bacteria; Pseudomonadati; Bacteroidota; Bacteroidia; Bacteroidales; Odoribacteraceae.